CCCCUGUAAAGUCCCUGCCUUUUUUUUCUCAGCUGGAAACUGGGAAGUUUGUCAGACAAAGCUCUUCAGGUUACUGGCAAUUUAUGUGCUGGGAGGUGGAUUUGUGGGCAGAGCUCCGGCUGACCUGGUGUUGUCCUGCUAUGGCUACAGACUUCUGACUAUGCUUAUCAGAAAAACUUUCAUUUGGUUCAAGGAUUUUUGCUGACAAGUUUAUUUAAUCCCUGAACCUGGAUCCAAGGCAUCUCCCUGUAGAAAACAUCAGACCGGGGCAGAGAUUGACAAAGCAACCCAAAGCAGCAGCUGCCAACGGCCGCUGUGCCCACCUCAUCAGCAGCUAAAGAGUAUAAUUUUAAAAAAAGUCACAGAAGAAUGUGGAGACACUUAGCAAAACGGACUCUCAUAAGAUUUGAGGAAACUCCUAAGGUCCCUCCAGUGUACAACAAUUUGGGAACUUCCAUUUUCUCAACAACUGCUCUUCCAAGAUGCUGCCUCAUUUCAGAGCCAUGUUUUACUCAUGAGCUGGUCCUGUCCAGAAAACAGCCAAUGCUCAUUCCCGACA
Molecule: long non-coding RNA, 559 nt
Filed under: Homo sapiens (human)
Lineage: Eukaryota; Metazoa; Chordata; Mammalia; Primates; Hominidae
Description: HSALNT0110516
Source: RNAcentral